CUUGGUCAUUUAGAGGAAGUAAAAGUCGUAACAAGGUUUCCGUAGGUGAACCUGCGGAAGGAUCAUUAAGAAUUGACAAUAUUUGUGAAAUUUCAGCAAACAACAAUAAUUUUAUAGUCAAAACAAAAAAAUCAAAACUUUUAACAAUGGAUCUCUUGGUUCUCGUAUCGAUGAAGAACGCAGCGAAACGCGAUAUUUCUUGUGAAUUGCAGAAGUGAAUCAUCAGUUUUUGAACGCACAUUGCACUUUGGGGUAUCCCCCAAAGUAUACUUGUUUGAGCGUUGUUUCUCUCUUGGAAUUGCAUUGCUUUUCUAAAAUAUUGAAUCAAAUUCGUUUGAAAAACAACACUAUUCAACCUCAGAUCAAGUAGGAUUACCCGCUGAACUUAAGCAUAUCAAUAAGCGGAGGAAAAGAAACCAACAGGGAUUGCCUUAGUAACGGCGAGUGAAGCGGCAAAAGCUCAAAUUUGAAAUCGGCCUCCAGGUCGAGUUGUAAUUUGUAGAUUGUAUUUUGAGAGCGGAUUAAAGUCUGUUGGAACACAGCGCCUUAGAGGGUGACAGCCCCGUAAAAUCUAUUCUCAUUGUAAGAUACUUUCGAAGAGUCGAGUUGUUUGGGAAU
RNAcentral lists this small RNA (618 nucleotides) under uncultured Galactomyces. Its description in RNAcentral is "eukaryotic LSU rRNA". The stretch from base 353 to 618 matches the Rfam family "Eukaryotic large subunit ribosomal RNA", at positions 1 to 281 of the family's 3401-position model. Lineage: Eukaryota; Fungi; Ascomycota; Dipodascomycetes; Dipodascales; Dipodascaceae. The record is from RNAcentral.